GAGCAACCGUGCCCCUUAGCUCCGGGAUAGCUCCGGGAAACCGGAAUUAAUACCGGAUACAACACCGGCCGACAUCGGCCGGUGUGGAAAGAAUUUUCGGCUAGGGAUGGACUCGCGGCCUAUCAGCUUGUUGGUGGGGUAACGGCCUACCAAGGCGACGACGGGUAGCCGGCCUGAGAGGGCGACCGGCCACACUGGGACUGAGACACGGCCCAG
RNAcentral lists this ribosomal RNA (216 nucleotides) under uncultured bacterium. Its description in RNAcentral is "partial 16S ribosomal RNA". It matches the Rfam family "Bacterial small subunit ribosomal RNA", at positions 119 to 334 of the family's 1533-position model. The record is from RNAcentral.